UACGUAGGUGACAAGCGUUGUCCGGAUUUACUGGGCGUAAAGAGCGCGCAGGCGGUCGUUCAAGUCGAGUGUGAAAGCCCCCGGCUCAACUGGGGAGGGUCAUUCGAUACUGAUCGACUCGAAGGCAGGAGAGGGAAGUGGAAUUCCCGGUGUAGUGGUGAAAUGCGCAGAUAUCGGGAGGAACACCUAUGGCGAAGGCAGCUCGCUGGGACGUUACUGACGCUGUGACGCGAAAGCGUGGGGAGCAAACAGG
RNAcentral lists this ribosomal RNA (253 nucleotides) under uncultured bacterium. RNAcentral describes it as "partial 16S ribosomal RNA". It matches the Rfam family "Bacterial small subunit ribosomal RNA", at positions 524 to 776 of the family's 1533-position model. The record is from RNAcentral.